Podarcis lilfordi (Lilford's wall lizard) is the source of this 75-nucleotide non-coding RNA. The record is from the annotation of a GenBank genome assembly. NCBI's taxonomy places the organism in Eukaryota, Metazoa, Chordata, Lepidosauria, Squamata, Lacertidae.
GCUUGAAUAUAGCUCAGUUGGUAGAACAUAUGACUCUUAAUCUCAGGGCUGUGGGUUUGAGCCCCCUGUUGGGCA